RNAcentral lists this ribosomal RNA (497 nucleotides) under uncultured bacterium. RNAcentral describes it as "partial 16S ribosomal RNA". It matches the Rfam family "Bacterial small subunit ribosomal RNA", at positions 28 to 507 of the family's 1533-position model. The record is from RNAcentral.
GACGAACGCUGGCGGCGUGCCUAAUACAUGCAAGUAGAACGCUGAAGAGAGGAGCUUGCUCUUCUUGGAUGAGUUGCGAACGGGUGAGUAACGCGUAGGUAACCUGCCUUGUAGCGGGGGAUAACUAUUGGAAACGAUAGCUAAUACCGCAUAACAAUGGAUGACACAUGUCAUCUAUUUGAAAGGGGCAAUUGCUCCACUACAAGAUGGACCUGCGUUGUAUUAGCUAGUAGGUGAGGUAAUGGCUCACCUAGGCGACGAUACAUAGCCGACCUGAGAGGGUGAUCGGCCACACUGGGACUGAGACACGGCCCAGACUCCUACGGGAGGCAGCAGUAGGGAAUCUUCGGCAAUGGGGGCAACCCUGACCGAGCAACGCCGCGUGAGUGAAGAAGGUUUUCGGAUCGUAAAGCUCUGUUGUAAGUCAAGAACGGGUGUGAGAGUGGAAAGUUCACACUGUGACGGUAGCUUACCAGAAAGGGACGGCUAACUACGUG